GCCAGGGGCAGUGGCCCACAGCCUGUAAUCUUAGCAGCUUGGGAGGCUGAGGCAGGAGGAUCGCAAGGUGGAGGCCAGCCUCAGCCACCUAGCCAGGCCUCCAGCAACUCAGCGAGACCCUGUCUCUA
Molecule: small RNA, 128 nt
Filed under: Marmota monax (woodchuck)
Lineage: Eukaryota; Metazoa; Chordata; Mammalia; Rodentia; Sciuridae
Source: RNAcentral